RNAcentral lists this ribosomal RNA (436 nucleotides) under uncultured bacterium. Its description in RNAcentral is "bacterial SSU rRNA". It matches the Rfam family "Bacterial small subunit ribosomal RNA", at positions 43 to 524 of the family's 1533-position model. The record is from RNAcentral.
CAGGCCUAACACAUGCAAGUCGAGCGGACCCUUCGGGGUUAGCGGCGGACGGGUGAGUAACGCGUGGGAACGUGCCCUUUGCUGCGGAAUAGCCUCGGGAAACUGAGAGUAAUACCGCAUACGCCCUUUUUGGGGAAAGAUUUAUCGGCGAAGGAUCGGCCCGCGUCUGAUUAGCUAGUUGGUGAGGUAAUGGCUCACCAAGGCGACGAUCAGUAGCUGGUCUGAGAGGAUGAUCAGCCACAUUGGGACUGAGACACGGCCCAAACUCCUACGGGAGGCAGCAGUGGGGAAUAUUGGACAAUGGGCGCAAGCCUGAUCCAGCCAUGCCGCGUGAGUGAUGAAGGCCUUAGGGUUGUAAAGCUCUUUUACCUGGGAAGAUAAUGACGGUACCAGGAGAAUAAGCCCCGGCUAACUUCGUGCCAGCAGCCGCGGUAAU